CAGCAGCCACGGGAAUACGAAGGGUGCAAGCGUUACUCGGAAUUACUGGGCGUAAAGCGUGCGUAGGUGGUGGUUUAAGUCCGUUGUGAAAGCCCUGGGCUCAACCUGGGAAUUGCAGUGGAUACUGGGUCACUAGAGUGUGGUAGAGGAUAGUGGAAUUUCCGGUGUAGCGGUGAAAUGCGUAGAGAUCGGAAGGAACAUCUGUGGCGAAGGCGACUAUCUGGGCCAACACUGACACUGAGGCACGAAAGCGUGGGGAGCAAACAGGAUUAGAUACCCCAGUAGUCCCUGUCUCUUAUAC
This 301-nucleotide ribosomal RNA is filed under the name uncultured bacterium. RNAcentral's name for it is "partial 16S ribosomal RNA". It matches the Rfam family "Bacterial small subunit ribosomal RNA", at positions 509 to 807 of the family's 1533-position model. The record is from RNAcentral.